Long non-coding RNA from Acinonyx jubatus (cheetah), 8377 nucleotides. RefSeq lists it as uncharacterized. NCBI's taxonomy places the organism in Eukaryota, Metazoa, Chordata, Mammalia, Carnivora, Felidae. The record is from RefSeq and is a predicted model, not a curated record. The transcript has 3 exons.
AGAAAAGAAAAGAAAAGAAAAGGAAAGAGACCAGGCUGGAUUUUUCCGCCAGGCUAGCGUUUCUCUCAGACCACAACCUCCUUUUCUUGGCGCCCUCCCCUUUCAGGUUUCACAGAUUGAACAGCCGGGACCCAUAAAAGGGGACAUUGCGGGUCACAGGAAAAAGGAUGGGUUUGACUCAGGGGAAGCCCUGGAAUUUCCUUGCCUGGAGAUCUUCAAGACUCAAAUGAGAGUCUCCUGAACCCGGGAGGAUUUCUUGCUCUUCUCCUUGGCCUCUUUCCCUUCCCCUGUCUGGAAUGCUCUCCAAAUCUCUUUCUCGAAGUCCCGUCCUUUUCUUAAAAGCCUCUCCUGACCCUUCCAGGCUUCAGGGCUCCCUGAGGCCACAGACCAUGACCCUAGAGCCUUGCUGACUGACAGUGAGAAAGCAGACGCCCGAGAGGACCCUGGGUCCCACCCAACUCUGAGGGUCUGUCAUCACAGUCUUUGACGAGGGUGGGGAGCGCCUUCUCAAGGUUGUGCUCUCGUGUCUGACAGGAGAGGUUAAACUCCAGCUUGUGUGGGUGGCGAAAAGAUCUGGGCCAGAGGGGAGGACGGUUGUCCUAGAAGAACUGGGUUGGGUCACACACCAAGGAAUUGCUCAAGGCUGGUUUCGCCGGUCAGCAAAAGGGUCCAGGAAGCAGAACCCGUGGGAGGGAAAAGAAACUGGGCUGCUCACUCCAAAAGCCUGGCCACCCAAGUUCAGCAAGUUCACGUUCCUGGGGCCUUGCGGGAGGGAAGGGGAACAGCUGGGCUCCUUGCAAUAGAUCUGUGCUUUUCCAAGCAAAGCGUCACGGAGCCUCAUCAUCCAAAGAGAUCAACACGCCUACUGGGAGACUAACGAAGAUCUCAAAUCUGGAGUAUUCGAUUACUAACGCAGGUCCUGGGCACUGGGAGGUUGAAAAACCACCAUACGAACGGAGUUAGAUCUGAAAGCAAGGGGCUUGAUCUCUCACCACACACAUCAGCUGAACUGUGCUGUGAACCUGAUGUUUGUUUAUUAGUAAACAACCAGCACCAGUGUGCUAUUUUUGUGGUCGAUUUCUUUGUUUGGGUUCAUUUCCUUUUUGAAACAUUUCAUGAAUAUAUUUGUACCACAAUCAAAUUCAUGAUUCUUAAAAUUCACUAGGAGGCAAAACACAAAACAAAACAAAACUCAGAGCAUGAAAAUAUUCUAUGAAAGGAGAGUAAAUGGAACAGAUUUUUUUUUUUUUCUGUGCAAGUUUCUUGUAGAAAUCUGAAUCCCGUCACAACUUUUCGUCCUUAAACUAACUGGAGGCUAAAGCCUAUCUUUAUUCCUUGAUUUUUAAUUGGAGAAUACAUUUGAUCAUUUUUAAGGUGAAAACAGUAAACGACUUAGAAGUACUUUUCUACCUCAUUGGGGUUUACUUUGAUGACUGAAAAUCAAGGGUCUCAGGAUGCUGUUUGCAAGGCUUAUGCUGAAAACAUGCGUGGGGGCACCUGGAUGGCUCGGUCGGUUAAGCGUCGGACUCUUGAUUUCCGCUCAGGUCGUGAUCUCACGGUUCGUGGGUUUGAGCCCCGCAUGAGGCUCUGUGCUGACAACGUGGCGCCUGCAUGGGAUUCUCUAUCUCUCUCUCUCUCUCUCUCUGGCCCUCCCCACUCGCUUUCAAAAUAAAUAAAAGUAAACUUAAACCAGUGUGUCUAAAGAGGGUCCUAUCUCACUUUAAAAGGAAUGCAGUUACAUUUUUAUAAAAAAAUAAACAUGCAAAGAUGAAUCUACUAAUGCCACAUCUGGCCUCAUCCCCCCAGAGGCAUCACCCCCCACUCUGCCUUCCACUUUGCUACCCCACUGCCCGCAGGAGCCAGCGCCCAGCUUGCCUGCCACGAUGCUUCAGAGUCCACAGACCCUCGAGUAGGAUGGUCUGUGUUCAGAUCCUUGCUGUGUCAUCGGGUGAUUGCGGGCAAGUUACUCAAGCCCUCUAAGCAUCGCUUAGAUGGGGGCAGUCGUGGGACCUGCCUCUUAAGGUUGUUCUGGGACUCAAACGAACUAAAACAAAGCACUUAGCACCCUGCCUGGCCCAUGCUGGACUCUCAGUGAACAUUUUGUGGGCAUUCUCAUCCUGGAACAACAAAUGAUUCACGCUUCUCGGGGCCAAACGUCCUCUUUCAAGUUACAUGCUGGUUCCUCGAGAAGACAGGUCGGGAAAGCCCGUCCCCUUUUUCUUCACCUGGGAAAAUGAAGCUCCCACAUCAGGAGUCCAUUCAAAUAUCAGCUUUGCUAAAGUAUUUUCUUUAAAAAAGAUUUUUUUUUUAAUGUUUAUUUUUGAGAGAGACAGACUGUGAAUAGAGGAGGGGCAGAGAGAGAGGGAGACACAGAAUCCAAAGCAGGCUCCAGGCUCUGAGCUGUCAGCCCAGAGCCCGAUGCAGGGCUUGAACUCAUGAAGAGUGAGAUCAUGACCCGAGCCAAAAUCAGAUGCUUAACCAAAUGAGCCACCCAGGUGCCCCUGAAGUAUUUUCUUGUAGCUGCCCAUCCCCCACCCACUUUGAAGCUGGUCGGUAGCUCCUACUUAACUGAGCCAUAAUCGACCGAACCUAUUAUGUCUUUGGGUCUUGCUUUACCGCAAAAUCCGGGACCAUUUAGAACGCAGAAGUGAAUGUUGUUCCUCUUUGCACUAUGGAUGCCAAGCGCCCAAGCAGACACUCAAUAAAUAUUUAUUGAAUGAAUAAAACAAAAUGGAAUCAAGUGACAUCUGCAUGGAUGCCAGGAUGUAUAGAGCAUAUGGCUUUAGAGAAAUGUAAUCCAUGUUACAUCUUUUCCAGAAACCAGUUAUUUCGGGCUGGAAAUGAAUGUAACCAAACCAGAUGUCGUGGAAGACAGGAGAAAAAGAGAAACUGGGAGAAAAAUGAGGGGAAUGGUUUCGGGGUUUUGCUCUCUUUCCAGGAAGGAUGUGUUCUCCAUCUUGUAGGUCUUCCUCCUCCAUGAGUUUAUUAUGAGCUUCUUGAGGAAGAAGACCAGCUCUUCAUCCUUCACGGUGCCAACGAUGUUUGUUGAAUUGAAGAAGAAAGAGCUAAAAGCCUAAGCCCUGUACAAGUCCCCAGACAAAAAGGUCAGAAACGUGGAAUGAGGCUGUGCUUUAGCAGAUGUUAGCUUGUAACUGUCCGUGUCAAACACUGGCCAUACCAGUGAGAUAAACAGAAAUUAGGAAACACUCACGGCUUCCCUCAUCUUCCUCAUGGCCAGUCCUCAAGCAGGAGCCAAGGCAUCCUGAGUGAGGCUGACUGCACUUCCUCUGCUCCAUCCGCAUGCUCCCCUGACUCGGGCCAGACUGCUUCUCACCUGUCGAGUCCACUCUGGUUUCCCCUAGCCUUUCCUCCCUCUUGUACACCAUCCUCCUUGCUGGCAGGGUCAUUAUUCUAGAACUUAGAUUUGACCGUAUUACCUCUGCUUAAGCCUUCGGACUCCCUGUUAACUGAAAGAUACCAUCUUUUCCACAUGGCAUCCGAGGUGCUCCAUGGUGGUGCCCAAAUCCACCCUUCUAGACUCAACCCUGCCAUUUUCCUCCCAGGCCCCCUACAUCUCAACAACCCUGAACUCUCUCUCCCCCUCAAUACGUUGUUUCCUUCCUUGUCUUUGUGCAUGCUGGGCCCCUCUGCCCGGAAAACUGCUCCCCCUUCUCCACACAUACAUGUUCUCUACACACUUUUCUAUAUCCAGCCCAAACAGCUCUCUGUGCAACACAGUGGAGUUAAUUGUUCCCACCAAGGCCUCAUAGAUCUGUUUGGGUAGCCAUUAAGCUGUGUGUUCAUUUACAGAACCCAAAGAACAUAGGACGAUGUCUUUUACUUCUUUGACCUCCAACACCUAUCCUAUACUGGGUGCUCAAGAAAUGUUGAAUAAAUAAAGGAAUAAAGUCUAGGUCUUUGUGAGUCAGGUUGGUGGAACAGGCCUUCCUAUCUGUCUAGGCUUUUGUUUCUUCCCUUAACUACAAGACUGUGUGUUUAGCCUUUCUUCAUGACAAGCUGUUCUCGUUAGAGAAGAGUUAUAUUAUUCUAGCUUUCAGUCACCCACUGGCUGAUGGGUUAUCCAAUGGAAACUCUGUUGCCCGUCUACUAUAUGGAUAAGAAUUGCAAAUGAAAGCAGCUUAGUGUGCUGAAAACAAGAUCUUAAGUACAUUCGAAGGGCAAAUAAACAAAUGGGGAAUGUAUGCCAUUGGUAUUAUACGUGAUUGCUUUAAUGUCAUUUUGCUGAUAAUUUAUGCAGUUCCCCUUCUCUAGUCAACCCCUUAAGUGCAAAUAAUUGAGGGUUGUCAAAACAUUUUCAAUAACUCUGACCUUUGCACAUAUACAGUGAGUAAGAAGGUGUAGAAAAAUUACUGGCCUUCAAAAAGGGGAAAGGUUCACUCCUGAAUUGCCUAAGAAAUGACAAAAUGAGUUCAUGUAAAGCUUGAUAGGGAACAGGAAGUUAAAAAAAAAAAAAACUGUGAUAAGGAAAGAGAAAUGCUGACCCAGAAAAGAUGAUCUGAAAAUGCAGAGGGAAACUUUUUUGACACAGAUGUAAUGUAAGAUCAUUGCUCUGAGGUGUUUUUUUUUUUUUGUUUUUUUUUUUAAGAUAGGGCUAUAAAAGUGAGAAUUGAACUCAUGAUUCUGUAAGACAAGCAUGUCUGAUGAGCGGGGGGAAAUGGUUAUUCACUCUACUGGAAUUGCUUUAAUGGAAACUUCUUGAUGAGAGUUGUGUCUUAAAAUACUCAUCCAGUGAUGAGGAGUUAUUUCAAGAUGUGAAGUCAAGGAGGUGGUUGCAGUGAGGUUCGUGUGUGAAGCACGCCAUGUCUUCAGGAUGCCGAGUGGAGCCAGAUGAACAGUGUGCCAACAACUGUUCCCACUGGCCUUUUUGGACAGCUGGUUCCCAUCCCAGGGACAUACUGGCAGCCAUCAGCAACUAGUAAAUCUAUGAAUGCCGCCCAAGCAAAAGGGCGGGGUGAGGCCUUGAGCUCCUUCCUUUCUCCUUGGUAAUCCCCAUCUGCCCAGCAGAGUCCUUCCCUCUGGCUCAGCCGUCCUAAACUCUUCUCCGUUCUCGCUCUCUACUACAACAGUAGACAAGGCCCCCAGUAGACCUCCGGGCCUCCAGCCCGCUUUCUGUGCCCAUGAAAACCAACAGCUUUUGAAGUGCAACUCUCAAGAGAGGAGAAAUUAAAUUUCAACUGUCCAAUUCGGCUGUCCCUGUUCCGGUGCGUCAUUCAAGACCCAGGUCAAUGUCACCGCCUCUGAUGCUUCUUCCAGUUCUCCCAGGCAGCAAGACACUACUUCUCCUGUGUUAACACGUUUCUGUACAUGCCUCCACUUUCAUAGACUCCCAUCGCUACUAUGGUAUUCUGGUUGCACACCUUGGGUGCCCUUAAAGUCAAAGACUCCAAGUCUCCAUUCCCCCAAGCCUAGCACACGGCUUCUCAGUAUGUGCUUGUGGAAUGAAUGUCCAUAUGAAUAUACUUCCGAAUGAAGAGCAACCGUGGGCAGAUUUUGUCUGUUGACAUCCUUUUGAAGACAAGAGCCAAACAUGUUGAAUGGCAGCCAUUGCCCAUGUGAAACUUGAAUUUGGGCCGAGGUUUGGUGCAAGGUGCCUGAGCCACAUAAACAAGCAAACUGGAGGGCCGGGAUUGGUUUCCAGUAACUUAUCAGUGACAUACUUGGGGAUGUGAACACUCCCCUUUCCAAAGUCAAUACCCAGUCCUUGCCAGACAUCUUCUCCUGAAGCACUUAUUAAACGGGGCGCCACGGAGCUCCAGAAAUAAAGGAGCUUGAAGAAAGCACGUUGCAUUUAUGAUGGUUUGGAUUAAAAUUUAAUUGGGACUGAGAUGGAGUGAGUGGGAAGCUAAGGUGAGUUUCCUAGUGCAAAGGGGAGCUCAUUUUCUGUUUGUGUGAGGUAACCUAUUUGUUCACCCCACCCCUACACUCGCUCCCCAUAUCCACAGUCCUUUCUCAAUUCCUAUUUAGCACAAAGCUCUGGGUCUCUAAAGAGAGGAAGGCCAAUUACAUAACCCAUGUGGAUGGGAGACAUUGACCCUGAUAUGCCAAAGGCCUUUAAAACCUUCUGUUUGAUAUGAUGUAGGUACAGUGGUGGGUACACCAUAAUAGGUCAGAAAUUUCAAUACUAUUCAUUGGAAGAGAUAGAAAGGUUUCACGGGCAGGAGAGAAGGAGGGAAGGUAGAAUUCUAGCACUAAUUUGAAGAGAAGGAGCCAUUUGGGGAAACUAGAAGUUUAAAAAUAGCUCACCUUUGGGGCACCUGGGUGGCUCAGUCAGUUAAGCGGCCGACUCUUGAUCUCUGCUCAGGUCAUGAUCUCACAGUUUGUGAGAUCAAGCCCUGUGUUGAGCUCUGCCCUGACAGCACGGAACCUGCUGGGGAUUCGCUCUCUCUCUCUGCCCCUCCCCCACUUACUUGCAAGAGCUCGCUCUCAAAAAAACUUGAAAAAAAUAGCUCAACUUUUUAGGUCUUAUGGCUAAUCCUUAUCGAAUGGCAUCCAGAACGCUGUCAGACCCUUUGAAUGGGCAUAGGAAAUUUCAGGGGAAGACUUCUAGGAUAAAGUUGUUGGCAUACCCAGGCAACCCUCACUUUAAGGCUAUUUUAAAUGGGCUUGUCGGCUUAUAUAAUUGAGGCUUGUUGGGAGCUGGAAGAGGGGUGGUGGGAAAACCAUGAUUUCAUCUCCGUUAUAAACACAGGAAAUAAGUGUGCCACAAAAGGACUUCAUAGGUUGUGUUUUACAAGCUGCGGGAAAUGCCAUGGGAGAACCUAAGCCUACCUUAUGGUGAGAUGAAGUCCAGCCAGGAGCAAAAUUCCUGAGUCUCAGUUGAGAUAUUGAUACCUAAAAUGUGAAGAGUAGAAAGGGAAGCCUGGGGAAGCCUGGCUGGCUCAGUGGGUAGAGCCUGUGAUUCUUGAUCUUGGGGUUGUGAGUUCGAACCCCAUGUUGGAUGUAGGAAAAAACAAAAAAAGGGAGGUCCAGAUACCCCCUGUCUAAAUGUUUGAAAGUAAUAAAUCAAGUGAACAAACUGGUCAAUUAAAUAGGUCUUACCCUCCUACUUGACAAAUAUCCCUUCAUAACGGCCUGCUUCGAUUUCUCAAGCUGCUUGGCGUUCUGUGCAGGAGAUAGCAGCCAACAACCCCGGAUUCCUCUCUACCUGUGGUGUGUCCCCAUCCACAUUACACUCUGCCCCUGGCUUCUUUGGGUACCAAGAGGGGCCCCACAUGCACGUGGAUGGACACCCCAGGAGUAUGUCAAAGCUCUGUCUGUACCUCCAUGAAUAGCUGCACCUUGGUCAUCCUCAGGGUUAGAAGCAUCUGUCCUCAGGAGGCCAGACAUGAGGAAGAAACCCAAGAAAUGGGUUCUCAGUCAUUUGGGUCUCCAAUACCCCAUAUGUAGCAUUUUUGUCGGGAGCGACGAGGGGAUACCUGGGAGGACACGGGCUCCAGGCAAGCAAAUCUCCGUGAACCUAAGGAGUCUUCAUCUAUACUAAAGGGCAUGGCCAUAGGAAGCCCAGAAUGGAGACUUCAGGUCAAGAGCAGGUCCAGGUACAAAAGCUUUGUGAACGAGUCACGUGAGAGAGAACAAAGGGAAAUGAACUAGGAAGAGUGACAUCCCUACAUUGUACAGGCUGUGCGUGACUGCAGAUCCUUCCGUAGAACUAUCGGCGGGCAGAAGUAGCGACAGGGUCACGGUUGGGGGUGUGGGGGAGAGGAAAGGGCCAGAUACGGACCGAGGGGCGAGUAAGGAAUCAGAUAUAUGUAUCGCAACGCGCUGAAGAGAUAAGUUCUGUGGCACAGCGUUGGUAAUGCAUUUCGUGACGGCUGAGCGAGAGAAUCUGCCUCAGGAUGGGCCUCUCUGGGGGAGUCUGAGGGGCCAGCCUGCGGCAGAAAUGGAACCAGAGAUGACACUUGUGUCCACCUGGCAGCCGCUUCCAGAGACACGGGUGAGCUGGGCAUCGGUGACAUCACAAAGACAGAUGUGCUCAAGAGGAAGCGUUCCAGUCCUUCUGGGUAUCCUCUGAGAUAAGUAACUAGGAACUCAGGCCAAUUACUCUGGGGCCUCCGUACCCUCAUCCCGAUCCGGUCAGCCACGCAGUGCCAGCCUCCGUUCUGUCAGGAAGGGGUUUUGCUGUAAGUAGGGAGGGCAAGGGUAGACACCCAGGCCCUAUUUUUAAAGAAGACUGUUUAUUCUGGAAUUUUCCAGACACAUACAAAAGCAGAGGGUAUUGUAUGACAACCCCACCCCGACCCCUUCAACGAUUAACCAUGGUCAACGUUUUGUCAAACCGUUGGUCUAUUCCCCGGCUUUCUCCCCCACUGGAAUAUUAUUUUAUUUUGUUCUACUUUAAAUGUUUGCCCAUCUAUUU